GAAGUCGCCGCCCGCGUCUGUCCAAACUUAGUCCCAAACUCAGGAGGUUCCUGUCCCAAGAAGCAAUGUAAAGUUUGAAACGAGCCGAGCGCGGUGGCUCACGCCUGUAAUCCCAGCACUUUGGGAGGCCGAGGCUGGCGAAUCAUUUGAGGUCAGGAGUUCGAGACCAACCUGGGCAACAUGGGGAAACGCCGUCUAUACUAAAAAUACAAAAAUUAGCUGGGCGUGGUGGCGCACGCCUUUAACCCCAGCUACUUGGUGAGGCUGAGGCAGGAGAAUCGCUUGAUCCGGGGAGACGGAGGUUGCAGUGAGCCGAGAUUGUGUCACUGCACUCCAGCCUGGGUGACAGAGUGACACUCCAUCUCAAAAAAAAAAAUUUUGAAACGGCCGCACCCUCGCCGGCCCUGCGUCGUCCCCGAAAACCAGACGCCCUGGGGCGCGGGGCCAAGUGCGGCGACCUCCUGCCCUCCCUCUGCGGCUCCCUGGAAACCGGCCUGGACAACGGCACCUGGGCAUCCAUGCAACGGGACCACCGCCCGCUUAAAUUCCUGUUGUGGAACAAGGCUGGACGGUGAUGGGAAUGCUCAGGAUAUGUUAGGUUUUCUUUUUUUUUUGAGACGGAGUCUCGCUCUGUCGCCCAGGCUGGAGUGCAGUGGUGCGAUCUCGGCUCACUGCAAGCUCCGCCUCCCGGGUUCACGCCAUUCUCCUGUCUCAGCCUCCCGAGUAGCUGGGACUACAGGCGCCCGCCACUGCGCCCGUCUUAUUUUUUUGUAUUUUUAGUAGAGACGGGGUUUCACCGUGUUAGCCGGGAUCCAUCUCCUGACUUCGUGAUCCGCCCGCUUCGGCCUCCCAAAGUGCUGAGAUUACAGACGUGAGCCACCGCGCCCUGCCUAUAUUAGGUUUUUAAAUAGCAGGAGGCAAAGCUUUUCGGUGUGAUCCUGACUUCACUUGGGGAAAAAGGGCAGACACAGGGUCUCACUGUGUUGGCCAGGCUGGAGUGCGGCAGUCUGGAACUCCUGGGCCCAAGUGAUCCUCCAAUCAGCCUCACAAAGCACUGGAAUUACAGAUGGAGUUUUGCUCUUGUUGCCCAGGCUGGAGUACAAUGGCGCAAUCUCGGCUCACUGCAACCUCCGCCUCCGGGUUCAAGUGAUUCUCCUGCCUCAGCCUCCUGAGUAGCUGGGAUUACAGGAGCCUACUACCACGGCCAGCUAAUUUUUUUGUAUUUUUAGUAGAGACGGGGCUUUACCAUGUUGGCCAGGCUGGUUUCAAACUCCUGACCUCAGGUGAUCCACCCGCCUCGGCCUCCCAAACUGCUGGGAUUAUAGGCAUGAGCCACCGUGCCCGGCCCAUAGAUUACUUUUAUAAUCAAGUUUUUCUUUACUUUUUAAAGAGUAAAUUCUCUCACCUCAGGUAGCUCAGAGAGCUGCGCUGGAGGAGAAAAGCCAGUCCUGGCAGGAGCUCUGGUACCUGGGAAGCUGGAUGGAGAGCCUGGGCCAGAAUCCCGGACCCCUCACCUCUGCGGCCUAGCUUUGUGACCUUGGCAAAUCCAUUCUAUGCACCUCCAUUUCCUGUACAGUGGGGAUCCUUAUUUCUCUGGCACAGAUUGGUAUUUGUUCUGUAAAGCCCAGUACCACUUUAUUUUAUUUUAGUUAUUGAUUUUUUUGAGACAGGGCCUCACUCUGUUGCCAAGGCUGGAAUGCAGUGGCGAGAUCAUAGCUCACUGCAGCCUCAAACUCCUGGGCUCAGGCCAUCCUCCUGCCUCGGCCUCCUGAGUAGCUGGGACGACAGGCGUGCACCACUGCGCCUAGCUCCAGUACCAUGUUUAAACGGUGCUCAGAAAACGUGCUAAACUUGGUGGAUGGGAAUUGAAAAGAGAUUUAAUGUUUUAAAAAUCAAAGUCACUCAGCUGCAGUGCCACAUGGGAAGGAGGCCUGGAUGUGAAUGUUCCUGGGAGCUGAGAGCUCCUGUGACUGUCGCCAGUUUCCUGUGGUCUCCCACAGACUCAGGACAUCUCCCUCUGCUCCAGGACACCUCAGGACCACCAGAGGGCACUCAUCGCACCUUCACCCCUGGAAGGGAGCUGGUCCUGGGGCCAAAACCCACUGUGCCUGGGAAGCCCUUCCUGGCUUCUGCUCUCCUCAAUGUAUGACAGCCCUGAUUUACCCCCAGGGACUGUUGCCACUCGGGGUUGUAGAGUAAUAUGUAACCAGACUGGAGAACCACAGCAAUGCUCUCUCCUCUGCCCAUCACCUCCCCUUGGCCCCUCCCUCUUCAUCAGCCCCAUUUUGGAGAAGGGAGAAAGAAGGGAGAGGCAGCAGUCUCCUCCCAGGUGGGGCCGGACUCCAGGGAAGGAGAAUUUUCAGAAGUUGCUGGAGUUGCCGAAUCUGUCAGGGCCCAGGGUUCACAGAGCAGUGAUGGAGGAGAAAGGAGAGGAAGCAGAUCUAAGCACACAUGGGCAUCAAACCAGAGGAACAAAGUCACAUGCAGAGGGCUGCACAUAGACACAGGGAAACACACACACGGAGAUGCACAGAAACACGCAGACCCCAUGCAGGGACCUGCUUUCCCGCCACAGAGGAAAGCAAUCUGAUCAAACAGACCCACUGUGCACCCAGCCCUCCAUGCUUGGGGACAACACACCUACAAAAAUAUAAGAAAAAAAAGGAAAACUGCUCUGCCUGGGAUGCCUUGCUUGACUUUUCUUGUAAAUAAGCAUUUGAAUGUGUUUUGUUCUAGGAGCUUUCGAGGCAGGCACAAAGGGAGCCCUUUCUCAUGCAGGAAGGUCCCUCUGCAACCUCCCCCUUCCCUCCCCUUCCUGCCAUCCGCCUACAGGCUGAGGUGGCUUUAUUUCUGGGACCCGAGUGUGGAUACCUCCUGUUUUAGAGAACCCUGAGAACCACUGUGCUAUUUCCAAGUUAAACUCCAGGCCGAGAUGAAAUUAGGCUUCUUUUUCUUUCUCUUUUUUUUUUUUUUUUUUGAGAUGGAGUCUCACUCUGUUGCCCAGGCUGGAAUGCAGUGGCACGAUCCCAGCUCACUGCAACCUCUGCCUCCUGGGUUCAAGCGAUUCUCCUGCCUCACCCUCCCGAGUAGUUGGGAUUACAGGCACCUGCCACCACACCCAGCUAAUUUUUGUAUUUUUAGUAGAGACGGGGUUUCACCAUGUUGGCCAGGCUGGUCUCGAACACCUGACCGCGUGAUCCGCUGGCCUCGGCCUCCCAAAGUGCUGAGAUUACAGGAGUGAGCCACCAUGCCUGGCCAGAUUGGUGAUUUUUUUUAAUCACCUGCAGCUCCCAGUCAUUCACAGGCCUCUGCCCCAUCCCCUGUCCAUAUGGAAGCUGAGAGGGCCGCAGGGAGGGGCCUGUCCAGUGUGGCCGCAGCUCUUCCCAGGAGGGAAUCCCUGUCAUCCAAAAGUUUUCUUUCCCCUCCUCUGGCCAUUCCAGGCUAAAGGAAUGAAAGCUCCCUCUCUCUAGGCUGGAAAACAGGUAAACGAUAUGUAAUUUAUGAGCACCAUCAGCCCAAAGUGCACAAGUCAUAUAUGCACAAAGGGG
Molecule: long non-coding RNA, 3548 nt
Filed under: Homo sapiens (human)
Lineage: Eukaryota; Metazoa; Chordata; Mammalia; Primates; Hominidae
Description: non-protein coding LINC00337:8
Source: RNAcentral